GACGAACGCUGGCGGCGUGCUUAACACAUGCAAGUCGAACGGUAAGGCCCUUCGGGGUACACGAGUGGCGAACGGGUGAGUAACACGUGGGUGAUCUGCCCUGCACUUCGGGAUAAGCCUGGGAAACUGGGUCUAAUACCGGAUAGGACCACUGCCUGCAUGGGUGGUGGUGGAAAGCUUUUGCGGUGUGGGAUGGGCCCGCGGCCGAUCAGCUUGUGGGUGGGGUGAUGGCCUACCAAGGCGACGACGGGUAGCCGGCCUGAGAGGGUGACCGGCCACACUGGGCCUGAGAUACGGCCCAGACUCAGACGGGAGGCAGCAGUGGGGAAUAUUGCACAAUGGGGGCAAGCCUGAUGCAGCGACGCCGCGUGAGGGAUGACGGCCUUCGGGUUGUAAACCUCUUUCAGCACCGACGAAGCGCAAGUGACGGUAGGUGCAGAAGAAGGACCGGCCAACUACGUGCCAGCAGCCGCGGUAA
RNAcentral lists this ribosomal RNA (478 nucleotides) under uncultured bacterium. Its description in RNAcentral is "partial 16S ribosomal RNA". It matches the Rfam family "Bacterial small subunit ribosomal RNA", at positions 28 to 523 of the family's 1533-position model. The record is from RNAcentral.